Molecule: ribosomal RNA, 333 nt
Filed under: uncultured bacterium
Lineage: Bacteria
Description: bacterial SSU rRNA
Rfam family: Bacterial small subunit ribosomal RNA
Source: RNAcentral
GACGAACGCUGGCGGCGUGCCUAAUACAUGCAAGUCGAGCGAGCUUGCCUAGAUGAUUUUAGUGCUUGCACUAAAUGAAACUAGAUACAAGCGAGCGGCGGACGGGUGAGUAACGCGUGGGUAACCUGCCUCAUACAGGGGGAUAACAGUUAGAAAUGACUGCUAAUACCGCAUAAGACCACAGGGUCGCAUGACCCGGUGGUAAAACUACCGGUGGUAUGAGAUGGAUCCGCGUCUGAUUAGCUAGUUGGUGGGGUAACGGCCCACCAAGGCGACGAUCAGUAGCCGACCUGAGAGACUGAUCGGCCACAUUGGGACUGAGACACGGCCCAA